UGAGGCAUAUAUGCACAUCCUUUGACAAGUAUAAGAUCACUAUUACAGUAUCAUUCAAUACAGACACAUAAACCUUGAUCCAGGUGCAAUCAGGCACUACAUUGACCUUCUCAAAGAUAUUUUACAACUCACCUUUUCAUUCUCCAAAAUGCAGAAGCCAGAAACUCAGGGAAACCAGCCUCCCCCAGGUUACCCAACUGAGAAUCCCCCCGCCAGAAGAAAGUUAUUUUUUAGCUCAAAGAAGAAAGGAGAGAGGGGCUUCAUUGAGGGAUGCCUCUUUGCUCUGUGUUGCUGCUGGCUUUGUGAAGAAUGCUGCUGAACUAUAUCUAUUGGCUAGAGAGCUAUAUUGACGUAUUAGAAACCACUGUUACAGUGUUACUGUUUCUUUCCUAGGUUGUUAGCAUUUGACUUUAGUGGUUUUCACCUAGCAUAUGUUGUAUUAUUACUAUCUUACCCUGUAAUCAUGUUGUAAUAUAUACCUAUCUAUUUUACUGAUAAUCUAUUCUCAAUAAAAGUAGAUUCCUUGGCUUUUCUUUUC
Cajanus cajan (pigeon pea) is the source of this 538-nucleotide non-coding RNA. The record is from RefSeq and is a predicted model, not a curated record. NCBI's taxonomy places the organism in Eukaryota, Viridiplantae, Streptophyta, Magnoliopsida, Fabales, Fabaceae.